AUCGCAGCUGAAACCGAACUGGAAACCGGUAAAAGAGUUAUCUAUUGCUGAAACAGAACUGAACGGAACCGAAAUACUUGCUUUUCUCCCAGUGGACCCAUCCGGAACUAAACUGCAAUAAAUCUGAACCAGUUACCGGGUGGCGAAACAGUUCAGGUUCCCUCACAGCCGCCCACAUCAUUUAAAAAAGUGUGUGGUGAAUGUCAGGCGAAAGGACUGGACGCCGUCGAGGACAUCAGUGGUCUGCAGCAAACAUUUUAAAGACAGGUGCUUCGACAGAACGGGGAAACCGUUGGACUGAGGCCUGACUCUGUGCCCAACAAGUUCAACUUCCCAGAACACCUCCAGAAAUGCUACAGCAGUAUCGGACUGUACCACCUUGCCAAGGAAUAUACAGAGAAGGUGACAGCCAAGCCUCAUCUGCAAAAGAAAUAGUCAAGGUUGAUCAUAUUCAACAACCAGUAAUGCACUCUGCCCACUUACCUAGUUGACUGCUUCAAACUUGCUGUUGCAACUGGACUUUGAUGUUGGAGCGUUCACCACAAGACCUUGCUACUUAGCCUUGUUAUGACUUAUUCACUCUACCUCUAGUCAUUUUGAACAGUCUUUACCGCCAUUUACCUCCCCAGUGCACAUAUUGCUAGUCGAUAUGUUUUUACCGUCAUAGAGCCUUUAUAUCACAUACUCAAUAUCAUUCUAGUCCUUUGGAAGGGCUCUAGUGCCGUUCAGCAUUUUGUGUCAUAACUAGUCAUAUCGAAACUUCCUGUGCAAAGCAUAAUGUUUACACCCAAGCAUAUUAAGGUGGUUACAUAAACAAAUGUGCCAAACAUUGCUGAAUGCUGAGAAUACUGCUCCCUGGAACUCCAUACCCCCGAGCAGAAAGGAAAUGGGAGAAACACGAGAAGCAACACGCUGAUAGACGACAAAGAAAACGUAACACAACAAAUACAACACCACACACAACCAGAAAUCACAUAAUCGAAGUUCAAAGUACAAAAUUGGAACGACUCGACCUCACACGAGUACGAAAUAGACAGGAAAUAACAUGCAUGUGACGGGAACGGGAAAAACGUAAGGAAUCCAAUCACGAGGGAUUUCUGCAGCGACCCGUGGCAAAAUUUUAGCGAAGCAGCAAGGGAAGCGCUCACAAACAGCAAAACUUGUCACAGCUUACAUGCAUUCCAAUGGGCUGUAAUGGCUCUUUUGAGCACCGCGAUGUGGUGGCCGCUUGGCGUACCCUUUCCCGCAAUACCCGCACCCAUCCGCUAUCCAGCCUUUAUACAUAGAGAUCAGUGGGACAGCUAGAGGUGUACGCCACGCCGCAACCGCCGUGCAAUUUUUACUCGCCGCCGCCGCCGAGUCGCCUGAAUCGGCGCGCCGAUGUCGGUGAAGAAAAUUUUAAUUUUUUCCUGCGGGUUUUACAAGUCAACAGGGUGAAAACAUGAGUUCCUGGGAAUAAUAUUGCGACUGUCCCAUAGACCGUCCAGUUAUUAUGGCGAACUGGAGCUUCAACGCUGAGCAGCAAUGAAACAGCAAUGGUAUUGGCACCGCUAGCAAAAGAUGAUGGCAAAUUCGAGGAGUGCAUUGGCAGACACGGAGUAAAGAUUAGGAGAAAGAAGACAAACAUGCUAGUGUGAAGUCUCCCUCAAAAAUGCCCAUACCAAGUUCGCGAUUUCGCGUGACACUUUAGGCAAGGUUGUGUGGGGUUGGGUUAGGUUAGCCAAACCAAAUCAGCAUAUCGCGUUGCAUAAGGGUGGAAUGAGUAAAUGUUAUUAACAUAUCCUAAUAAACUUGAUAUUUGAGAAACCGACAGCGGACUAUUCCAAUGUCCGAUUUUUAACAAUAGCUGUAGUGGUUCUACUUUUAGCUCAUUUACAGUUUCGCUUUUUUUUCUUUAUAUCUGUUCACGUUAGGGCUUCUAUAUAGCCAUCAGAAACUGUAAUAACGGAUUCCUGAGCAUUCCUAUUAAAGCGCGCACGCUGGAAGCAUUUAUGUGCGACGCGACCAGCAUAAAUACAAAUAUUGAUAUGAAAAUGCGGCGUGGUGACCUACGAAGUGUCUGAAAUAAAUUUGAGGAGAGAUGUUCAGUGCACCGCACUGACUACGUUUUUAAUCUGUUAUGGGGAAUGAUUGACUGUUGUAUAAUAGAGACGGCGCAUCAGUUUCAACGACGGUCUUUCGAAAUAAUGCAACUAGUUUUCACGUGCCGAACAUGCAGAACCCACAUCCAGAAGAUGUGGGUUCGAGCUCUACAGCUGGCUAACCUUUUCAGCGAGUUUCAUCUUUCAUACUUUUCACAUUUCUGAGUUGGUGUUAUAUCUUUUGUGGAAUUAUAUCUUUUAUUAUAUGUAUUAUAUCUUUUGUGGAGUUAUAUCUUUUCUGCACUUCGAAACAUCGUUGGCAUAAAUAAUCAUUUCGUGCCUCGAGUAAAGCCUGUUAUGGUUCGUAUCAAUGGAAAAAGAAUCUCACAUAGAGGCGAAUGCAGUCAGUAAAAAUGUUAUUUGACUAGAGUGACUUAAAAAUGCUCUUUUAUACACAUUGAGAUUGCCGGCAUCAUGCCUCCGAGAAAGACAGAAAAUGCAUCCCAUCUCAUAACCACCGCAACUGCCGGCAAUCGCUCUCCCGCCUCCUGCUCCUCGCGGGACGCGUAAGUGUCGUCUGAUGAAAGUAGGUACGUUUCUCGUGCACAUGGCAAUUCCGUUUCGUUAGACUCUUGCAUUUUGUCGAAAUCUAUUAGGUUGACGGACACUAUACACUACCGGCCGACCGUGUUUGUGGAUACUUCAGUGUCUACAGCGCAGCAGACGCCGUCCGUCAAUAAUCAUACUUCUGCAAACAGUGCCCCGGCAAGGCAAUUGCCACAGAGGGACAUGCUACUGUUCUCUUGGAGACUGACAGUUGCGUGUUUGUUGCGUGUCUACACUCUUGGAUCUGGAGCAUAGGGUUCGCGAUGGAGUUUUAAUGAGACUUCAUGACUUUCCUGUUGGGGGUGGGAGGUCAGCAGUGUAAGCGUUGGUCAUGGUGUUUCCUGUUUCAGUUUUUCCAUGACAAAGUUAUGCUGAAUGGUGUAGUGCGACUCAAUAGGACCCCUGUAUUUUGUGUACAAGUGAUCUGAAGCAUGAGUUCUGCGUAAUCCGUCUUGUGUACGUUCUGCAUUUACUGUUUGCA
This is a long non-coding RNA of Ornithodoros turicata, 3168 nucleotides long. RefSeq lists it as uncharacterized. The transcript is spliced from 3 exons. The record is from RefSeq and is a predicted model, not a curated record. NCBI's taxonomy places the organism in Eukaryota, Metazoa, Arthropoda, Arachnida, Ixodida, Argasidae.